GUAAAAGGAGUUAGCACCGUGUCAGGAGUGAAGUACUUCGGCACAGGAACUAAACUGGUAGUCACAGAUACUACCCCACAAUUGAAUGAUCCCAUCCAGUUUUACCCAACUUCACUAGAGCGGAAACAACAGAAUACGGAAACCUAUGUUUGCCUCUUCAAGGAUUUUUUCCCUGAUGUUAUCAGAAUGCAUUGGAAGGAAGAGGGGAGUGAUAAGAUCUUGGAGUCCCAGCAGAGUGACCCAUUGCCAGUGAAUGGCAAGUACUGGCAGAUGAGCUGGUUGACUGUUAAGAAAUCGCCGCCGGGGAAGAUUUACAGAUUGAUAUACAAACAUGAGAAGACUGGUCCGGCAGGAAAGGAAGAGCUAUUUCCAGCACCAGCUCCUGAGCCCAUCGCUUCUACAGAAGCCUCUAUUACGGUCAAAACUCAUCGCUCCACCGUUGCCCCUACAGCCGAGGAAGACUGCACCAAUGUUCGAGAUCAUCUACCCGGGGGUAAGUCUCUCUCUGCUCUAAGUUGUGGCCCAGUUAAACAAGAUUUGCAGUUUGUGAACACAACUGCCUUUUACACCUACACCAUCCUUCUGCUCAAGAGCACCUUGUAUUGUGUCUUCAUGCUGUUCUUCACAUACAAAAGGGCCACGAGCAGUGGCAAGGGGAGAGGAUCAGCCCGAUGACAACAGGGGGUCAACAGGAUUUUUCAGGACCACAUGCACAGCUUCUCUCCAGACCUGCAAAUGGAUGUUUGAUAUGUGUUAUUUUUGUUGCGAUUACAAGUAGUUCUUCUACAUAAUCACCAGGCAGAGGUUUAUUUUAUAAUUAUGUUUAUAAUUUUAUUUUUAAACAGUAGAAAAAUGAAUGAGGUUGUAAAAAACACUCUUUCAUUGAUAUUGUUUUUAAUAUUCUGGGCUUAGUUUUAGAUUUAUCUCUCAUUUUCUUUAUCAUUCUAUCUAUUCACAAAAAUAAAAACACCACCAUUCCUGCUAUCAACA
Ornithorhynchus anatinus (platypus) is the source of this 990-nucleotide non-coding RNA. NCBI's taxonomy places the organism in Eukaryota, Metazoa, Chordata, Mammalia, Monotremata, Ornithorhynchidae. The record is from the annotation of a RefSeq genome assembly.